This 467-nucleotide ribosomal RNA is filed under the name uncultured bacterium. Its description in RNAcentral is "partial 16S ribosomal RNA". It matches the Rfam family "Bacterial small subunit ribosomal RNA", at positions 29 to 507 of the family's 1533-position model. The record is from RNAcentral.
ACGAACGCUGGCGGCGUGCUUAACACAUGCAAGUCGAACGGAAAGGCCCUGCUUUUGUGGGGUGCUCGAGUGGCGAACGGGUGAGUAACACGUGAGUAACCUGCCCUUGACUUUGGGAUAACUUCAGGAAACUGGGGCUAAUACCGGAUAGGAGCUCCUGCUGCAUGGUGGGGGUUGGAAAGUUUCGGCGGUUGGGGAUGGACUCGCGGCUUAUCAGCUUGUUGGUGGGGUAGUGGCUUACCAAGGCUUUGACGGGUAGCCGGCCUGAGAGGGUGACCGGCCACAUUGGGACUGAGAUACGGCCCAGACUCCUACGGGAGGCAGCAGUGGGGAAUAUUGCACAAUGGGCGGAAGCCUGAUGCAGCAACGCCGCGUGCGGGAUGACGGCCUUCGGGUUGUAAACCGCUUUCGCCUGUGACGAAGUGUGAGAGACGGUAAUGGGUAAAGAAGCACCGGCUAACUACGUG